This 735-nucleotide ribosomal RNA is filed under the name uncultured eukaryote. Its description in RNAcentral is "eukaryotic LSU rRNA". The stretch from base 298 to 451 matches the Rfam family "5.8S ribosomal RNA". The record is from RNAcentral.
AAGUCGUAACAAGGUUUCCGUAGGUGAACCUGCGGAAGGAUCAUUAUCCUAUUUGCAAAGUGUUAGCAUUAGCACUUUACGUGUAAGCUCAUGCUUAUGCGAUUUUUUACAUGCAGCUAUAGCGCUUGCUCUAGCUGUAAAAAUCCAUAUUAGCUUUAAUAUGGUCGGUACCUACGUUAGGUUUAAAGAUUAUUCAUCAAAGUGAAUGGCGCCAUCAAGCGAAAAUAUUUAAAACAUAUUUAUUUUAGUUGUGUAGAAUAGAUGAGUUCUUUUUUAGGAUUCAUUUAACUCUAUUACAACCCUAUGCGGUGGAUCACUUGGCUCGCGAGUCGAUGAAGAGCGCAGCAAACUGCGUGAAUUAAUGUGAUUUGCAGGACACAUUGAUCAUCGAUAUCUUGAACGCAUAUUGCGGUUAUGGAUCGCUUCCAUGACCACGCCUGUCUGAGGGUCGGUUUAAAUGUUUAAAAAUGUGAAAGGCCCAAGAGCUUUUGAUCGGUCGUUAAAUAAUUUUAUUUAUCGACUCUAGAUGCAUGUUAACUAUUCGUAUAAUAGUUUAAAGGCACAAUUUUGUUUCAUGAUUGGCAGUCAUCGUAAAGAUGCAAACAAAAAUUGCAUUGAACAUUUUAUUUGUUUGCUCUUGACGGUGUUAGCAUCAGUAGAAGCAAAUAUUCUAUGUGCAUUGCUACAUAUUUCAUUUUCGACCUCAGAUCAGACGAGAUUACCCGCUGAAUUUAA